AACGAACGCUGGCGGCAUGCCUAACACAUGCAAGUCGAACGAGAUCUUCGGGUCUAGUGGCGCACGGGUGCGUAACGCGUGGGAACCUGCCCUUUGGUUCGGAAUAACAGUUGGAAACGACUGCUAAUACCGGAUGAUGACGAAAGUCCAAAGAUUUAUCGCCAGAGGAUGAGCCCGCGUAGGAUUAGCUAGUUGGUGUGGUAAAGGCGCACCAAGGCGACGAUCCUUAGCUGGUCUGAGAGGAUGAUCAGCCACACUGGGACUGAGACACGGCCCAGACUCCUACGGGAGGCAGCAGUGGGGAAUGUUGGACAAUGGGCGAAAGCCUGAUCCAGCAAUGCCGCGUGAGUGAUGAAGGCCUUAGGGUUGUAAAGCUCUUUUACCCGGGAUGAUAAUGACAGUACCGGGAGAAUAAGCUCCGGCUAACUCCGUGCCAGCCGCCGCGGUAA
RNAcentral lists this ribosomal RNA (449 nucleotides) under uncultured bacterium. Its description in RNAcentral is "partial 16S ribosomal RNA". It matches the Rfam family "Bacterial small subunit ribosomal RNA", at positions 29 to 523 of the family's 1533-position model. The record is from RNAcentral.